CUGCCUCUAGUUGCCACCAUUACUCUCAGGAGUAGUGGGGCGAAUUAGAGGGACCGCCGUAGUUAAUACGGAGGAAGGAAGGGGCCACGGCAGGUCAGUAUGCCCUGAAACUUUGGGGCCACACGCGGGCUGCAAUGGUAGCGACAAUGAGUUCCUAAUCCGAAAGGAGGAGGUAAUCUUCAAACGCUACCACAGUUAAGAUUGAGGGCUGCAACUCGCCCUCAUGAAUAUGGAAUCCCUAGUAACCGCGUGUCAUUACCGCGCAGUGAAUACGUCCCUGCUCCUUGCACACACCGCCC
RNAcentral lists this ribosomal RNA (299 nucleotides) under uncultured crenarchaeote. RNAcentral's name for it is "partial 16S ribosomal RNA". It matches the Rfam family "Archaeal small subunit ribosomal RNA", at positions 1054 to 1351 of the family's 1478-position model. The record is from RNAcentral. Lineage: Archaea; Thermoproteati; Thermoproteota.